AAAUUUUGCAAACAUUCAAUUGAAUUAUUUAUUAUGUCAUAUUGAUAUUCUGUCUAUGUGGUUGAAUUGUAGCUUACUAUGGCCAGAAAAAAAUCAUGGAAUAUGUCAUAGUUGUAGAUGUAAUGAUCACUUCUUUGCGAAUUGCCCAAAUAAAUGUCCAUGGCUGUGGCGUAAACAUGUAUUUGUGAAGUGUUUUCAAGUGGAGAAGGAUAGUAAGAACAGAGGUAAAUUGUUCAAUUGUUGCACUGCGAACUGCGGAUAUUGGGAAUGUGUUAAAGAGGGUGAAACGAGCAAUGAAUCAAGUGUCGUUGGCAUUACCUCCACUAACCUUCUGGCGCCUGAAUUAGUUCAAGAUGUCUCUAGCAUGUUUGAAACCAUGUGUCAGCUAACUCAUGAAAAAGAUAUGGAGAUUUCUGUAAAUGUGACAAUAUGCAAAG
Molecule: long non-coding RNA, 437 nt
Filed under: Olea europaea subsp. europaea
Lineage: Eukaryota; Viridiplantae; Streptophyta; Magnoliopsida; Lamiales; Oleaceae
Source: RNAcentral